This 114-nucleotide non-coding RNA is filed under the name Clostridium sp. RNAcentral describes it as "FMN sequence". It matches the Rfam family "FMN riboswitch aptamer (RFN element)". From Rfam's summary of the family: The RFN element is a highly conserved domain that is found frequently in the 5'-untranslated regions of prokaryotic mRNAs that encode for flavin mononucleotide (FMN) biosynthesis and transport proteins. This element is a metabolite-dependent riboswitch that directly binds FMN in the absence of proteins. The record is from RNAcentral. Lineage: Bacteria; Bacillati; Bacillota; Clostridia; Eubacteriales; Clostridiaceae. RNAcentral also lists the same sequence under 1 other name.
AUAAAUCUUCAGGGCAGGGUGAAAGUCCCUACCGGCGGUAUAGCCCGCGAGCCGUAAGGUUGAUUCGGUGAAACUCCGAAGCCGACAGUAAAGUCUGGACGGGAGAAGAUUAUA